GGACUAGGCCUGAAAGCCAAAUCACUCUGACUUUCAUGGACUGGCCAACAAUAGGUCCCAGGCCGGACUUUGCUUCCUCAUUGCUUGGGCUCUGAUGAUUUAGAGUAAGUGUAAAUAGUAAUAGUAAUAGUGUAAAUAGUAAACCCUGAGUCUUCCCUUCCCAGUUCGAUUUUUUUUUUAAUUUACUAGGUAAAAGAAGCCAUUUCUUUGCCUCAUUUCUUACCUGUCCUUAAACACUGAAUAGAAAUUGCCUCAAUCAAACUGAGACCUGGGAAAGACCUAAAGAGGCCAAGGUCUCCCACUGCAUCCAGUGCGGUCUCCAGCCCUCCUGAACUCUAUCUGGCCAGCAGGCACCUGUGACCUUGCCCAGCCCUUCCUCACUGAAAUCCACUUCAGUUGCAAGUUAUGGCAUUACCUUCUUGAUUUCAUGGUCCUCAUUAUGAAUUAAGGGCAAAAAAACAGCUCAAUUUUAAAUUAUCUUUAGAUAUGCCUGUGACACUUUUUUAAAAUGACUUAUUUUUUCUUGUACAUGUACUUAUGCUUUGAAUUUAAUAGUUUUUAAUUAAAUUUUAAUUAAAUACCAAAAUAAAGUUAUUAAAAAGUUGCUAUGAAGAAAGUAGAGAUUAAAAAUUAGAAGCAAGCAGGACACCACUGAAUCAUUACCACAGAUGUGUUUUGUUGGUUAAGGUUAUUUUCAAAUCUUCUUAUGAUUUUAUGUGAGAGAUGGAAUCUUAGAAUUAGAAUGUUUCAUUGGCUUCUCUCAUAUAUUGCAAGUAUUGGUUAUAUUUUUAUUUGAAUAACGUUAGCUCCUGAAUUACUUUUAUAUUUCUCUCUUAUAUUAAAAACCUAUUAAAAUCUGGCUUUUUCUCUUAUAGGGUUUAUUUCCCACGGAGGCAUUCCCAAGGAAUCUGUCCUUAAACAUAUAACUUGACAAUAUGUUUGAACUUGGAAUUAUUGCAAUGAACAUGAAGGGAGAAACUGGAGCUGCUUCAUCAGUUCAGUUCACCUAUUGUGUCUGGUUAGAGGAAAAUGAUUCCAUUAGACAGUUAAUACAACCAGCUUUUCAAUCAUGAAAAUACUAUCAAGCAUUUUAUUUUUACUGUUCAUUCAUUAGUCUAUCAGUUACUUAAACUCAUCUAGAUAAAUAUAAAAUAAAUGAAAUUUUGAAUUCAUCUUUUUCCAUUAAGUUUAUUUCCACAUACUCAUUUCAGACCUCAAUGAUUUUGCAGGUGCUUCAUUUCUUUAUUUUCAUUGCUUUCAUUUUUCAAAGUUAAUUUUGUUGUUAAGAUUACCUGGUUCUUCAAAGCAAAUCAACAAACAUUUUUUGAGUGCAUACUGCAUGAAAGACACUGUCCUUUUAAAUAUAUCAUUCACCAAAGAAGCAAAAUGUUUGUAUUAGGAAUUAGUAUGUUUUAUUUGUUGUUUGAUAUGAUUGAAUCAUGCCACCAAAGAUCAUUCAUUUCUUUUGAUUAACUCAAUUUUGUAUGUUUAAAAAAUGAUGUUAAAAAUGUUGCUCUUAACACAAGGUUUUGUGAGGGUAAAUAUUGAAAAUUAUAUUUUGAAAAUAAAGUUUUAUAAAAAAAAUUAAAAUUCAAAAAAAUUGUUGCUCUUGAAAAGUAAUAAAAAUCUAGAUGAUAUUAAUA
This 1643-nucleotide long non-coding RNA is filed under the name Sarcophilus harrisii (Tasmanian devil). RNAcentral describes it as "lncRNA (ENSSHAG00000030065.1)". The record is from RNAcentral. Lineage: Eukaryota; Metazoa; Chordata; Mammalia; Dasyuromorphia; Dasyuridae.